GUACACGCUGUGACUAGCAUAUCAAUAAGCGGAGGAAAAGAAACUAACAAGGAUUCCCCUAGUAACGGCGAGUGAAGCGGGAAGAGCUCAAAUUUGAAAUCUUAAAGGGUUUCCCUUUACGAAUUGUAGUUUAAAGAAGUGUUUUCUGUUGAGGUUUUGGUAAAAGUUCUUUGGAAUAGGACAUCAUAGAGGGUGAGAAUCCCGUAUUUGACCUUUACUUUCAACUUUGUGAUACACUUUCAAAGAGUCGGAUUGUUUGGGAAUGCAGUCCAAAAUGGGUGGUAAAUUUCAUCUAAAGCUAAAUAUUGGCGAGAGACCGAUAGCGAACAAGUACCGUGAGGGAAAGAUGAAAAGAACUUUGAAAAGAGAGUUAAACAGUACGUGAAAUUGUCAAAAGGGAAGCGUUUGACACCAGUGUUGUUUUUCUGAAAAUCAAUUAAAGAACUGUUUAUGCUAAGCUGUUUAGACUUUAUCAGCUAUCUGUUUAGUUUUGAGCUUUACUUUAAUGCACUUUUCAGUUAACAAGUCAACAUCAAUUUCUUUUGCUGUAAAAAAGCUUGAGGAAGGUGGCUUGAGAUUCGUCUUAAGUGUUUAUAGCCUCUUGCCUAUGCAGUCGGAGGGAUUGAGGUCUGCAGCGUAGAUCCUUCGGGGCUAAAUGCAUUUGUGCUAAGUUAUAGCAUUUUAUAGACAACUUGUUGACUAUGAUUUGUCUUGUAGCUUACUCGCUUAUGUUAUUUUACCUACGCUUAGGAUGUUGAAGUCAUCGUAUCGCGC
RNAcentral lists this ribosomal RNA (774 nucleotides) under uncultured Neocallimastigales. Its description in RNAcentral is "partial large subunit ribosomal RNA". It matches the Rfam family "Eukaryotic large subunit ribosomal RNA", at positions 22 to 645 of the family's 3401-position model. Lineage: Eukaryota; Fungi; Neocallimastigomycota; Neocallimastigomycetes; Neocallimastigales. The record is from RNAcentral.